GACGAACGCUGGCGGCGUGCUUAACACAUGCAAGUCGAACGGAAAGGCCCUGCUUUUGUGGGGUGCUCGAGUGGCGAACGGGUGAGUAUCACGUGAGUAACAUGCCCUUGACUUUGGGAUAACUCCAGGAAACUGGGGCUCAUACCGGAUAGGAGCUCCUGCUGCAUGGUGGGGGUUGGAAAGUUUCGGCGGUUGGGGAUGGACGCGCGGCUUAUCAGUUUGUUGGUGGGGUAGUGGCUUACCAAUGCUUUGACGGGUAGCCGGCCUGGGAGGGUGACCGGCCACAUUGGGACUGGGAUACGGCCCAGACUCCUACGGGAGGCAGCAGUGGAGAAUAUUGCACAAUGGGCGGAAGCCGGAUGCAGCAACGCCGCGUGCGGGAUGACGGCCGUCGGGUUGUAAACCGCUUUCGCCUGUGACGAAGCGUGAGUGACGGUAAUGGGUAAAGAAGCACCGGCUAACUACGUG
This 468-nucleotide ribosomal RNA is filed under the name uncultured bacterium. Its description in RNAcentral is "partial 16S ribosomal RNA". It matches the Rfam family "Bacterial small subunit ribosomal RNA", at positions 28 to 507 of the family's 1533-position model. The record is from RNAcentral.